Molecule: RNA transcript, 5644 nt
Organism: Populus nigra (black poplar)
Lineage: Eukaryota; Viridiplantae; Streptophyta; Magnoliopsida; Malpighiales; Salicaceae
Gene name: receptor-like protein EIX2
Exons: 3
Source: RefSeq, a predicted model, not a curated record
AGGAUAUGUGAAUUAGGUAGUGACAAGAGGAGGCUAGGAGGUGGUGGUGACCGAAGGUGUUGACCAGGAGGAGAUGUGAAUGGCUAGGAGAAUAAUGUGUGGAGGAGGGGAAGAGCAACGUAGCUCUUGGCCUUGUGUGAUCAAAAAGUAUCCAUUGGCCAAGAAGAGUAAAGUUACCAAGGAGAAUGCGACACAAUACUGACUUCCCUGGGACUCAUCGCUUUGCCUUAAGGUGUGUGCCUAAGAAUUUGCGGGGUGUUGGGCUGAGCUCAAAAGGCAUGGUGGUCAGCCUGUUUUAGGCUUGGCCUGAAUGGUCUGAAUGGAGUUGUCCGUUCGGGUCUAGUUUGAAUGUCAAGCCGUUCAAGCCUCGUCUGAAAGGUCAGGAGGGCAUGCUGUUCGGUCUAGGCCUGCACGGCUUGAAGGGCACGUUGUUCAGGCCUAGCAUGAAUAGUCUGGAUUUUUUUUUAUGUUGCACAAACAAUAAUUUAAUUUAAAUUCUUGAAUUUAUGGAUGAAGGUAUAGGUUUUUUUUUGUUUUUUUGUUAAGUUAGAUUUUAUUUUUAAAACUUCAUCUAAUCAAAUUAAAAGUGGGUCAGAUAGGGAACAUGCCGGGUGAAAAAAGUUCUUCAUCAGAUCCGAUCUGACCAGGUUAGAGGCAAAAGUGAAGGAUGAAUUUAGAUAUUCCAAGUCAAAAGUAGAGCGAAAUCCUGUUCCUAUUCGAUCCAUUGAAAAUUUGAAACCCUUAAUGUUAUAUACUAUAUAUUAAACUUUUCAUACUAAUUGGAAAUCUGGAAUUACUUCCAGAACGGGCACGAAGUGAAAUAAAAUAAGGUUUUUUCUUGCCUUUGGUUUUACAAGAUCGGAGAUAUUGCACCCAGGUAAGUAAAUAAAAAAAUAAACGAAUUUCUCUCUCCGAUGUCCCAUUUCCUCGAAUUUAACAGCAGCAGCAUGCCACUGCCACCAGCUUUGGCGGUCGAACAAGCAUGUAUCCGACGACAAGUGGACCGAUAAGCAGAUCUCCGAUGACGCGAAACCUGUUUAUAUUCCUCUCCUAUUGGUUCCUCGGUUAGCAUCUCUUAGGUGAUCGUUGCUAUGAUUGCCUUGUUGGUAUGCUGAAUUGGCUUGGGUUUUGAAGCUUGUUACUGGGUUUUGAAGCUUGUUACUGGGUUUGGAUUUUGAUGCUGCUACUUGUUUGAGAGAAUGUGUCUGUUACACGCCAUCUCUAAGAUAGUUCAAAUUCUUGCAAUUGCACAUAAGUUGUUUGUUUUUUUUUCCACAAUGAUUUCUCUGAAACUUCAUAGCUUUGUUUUUUCUGUUUAGUUGGGAUCUCCUUCCAUAUAACAAAAUUAUGUAUUGAUGCACUAAUAGAGAUGGUGGGCUUCUAGGCUGUGCUGGCGAUGAAGAUGAUCAUGAGAGGAGUUGCUUGUCUUAUAAUUUGUAGAUUAAUGGAUUAGAAUUAAAAUUUGGUUUCGUUAGAGUCACUAAACAAUAAGUGGCCUUGUGCUGGAAGAUUUUUUUAUGGUGGGGUGUGACAAAAUCCAACUUCUACCUCACUCCAGACUUGAUGAGUCAACCUUCCAAGUCAACUUGGUUUCUUUUUUUUAAAGGUCCUGACUUCCCAGAAACCAGAAUUAAAAGAACCCAACAAAGCUUUCAAGCUUCAUUUUUUAUUUUGAUCAUAGUGAUAAUAAUGCACAAAAAUUAUGUUCCGCUUAUUGUGCUUGUAUUGUUGCACAUAAACCCUCUUCCUGAAUUCAUUACAGGGGUAAGAGGUGCCAAGUUUAGGUGCAUAGAGAGGGAGAGACGAGCACUUCUUCAGUUCAAAGAAGACCUUAUUGAUGAUUAUGGUGUUCUUUCUUCUUGGGGGGGUGAAGAAGAGAAGAGAGAUUGCUGCAAAUGGAGAGGAGUUGGCUGUGACAACAUAACUGGUCAUGUUACUUUGCUUGAUCUCCAUUCCUCACCUGUGUACGACCAUCAUUUUAAGCCUCUAAUAGGUAAGGUUAGUGAUUCAUUACUAGAGUUACAGUAUUUGAAUUACUUGGACCUGAGUUUGAAUAAUUUUGAUGAGAGUAUGAUGGAUUUUAUUGGCUCCUUAACCAGCCUGAGAUACUUGAACCUCUCCUACAACUUUUUCACUGUAACUAUUCCCUGUCAGCUUGGGAACCUCUCAAGAUUGCAGUCUCUUGAUCUCAGCUAUAGUUUUGAUGCCAGUGUAGAAAAUCUUGACUGGCUUUCUCAUCUUUCUUCUCUGGAGCGUCUUGAUUUAAGUGGUUCCAACCUCAGUAAGGUAAAUGACUGGCUGCAAGUGAUUACAAACCUCCCGCGCCUAAAAGAACUGCGAUUGAAUCAGUGUAGUCUUCCAGAUAUAAUUCCUUCACCUCUUUCUUUUGCCAACUCUUCUAAAUUUCUUGCUGUCCUUCAUCUCUCUAAUAACAAUCUUUCUUCUGCGAUAUACCCCUGGCUGUACAACUUUAGUAAAAGCCUGGUUGACCUUGACCUUUCUGGUAACCAGUUAAAAGGUUCGAUUCCAGAUGCAUUCAGAAACAUGAGUGCCCUCACAAAUCUUGUUCUUUCCGGUAAUCAGCUUGAAGGUGGCAUUCCAAGAUCUCUUGGGGAGAUGUGCAGCUUGCAUGUGCUAGAUUUGUGCCACAACCAUAUCAGCGAGGACCUUUCGGAUCUCGUGCAGAACUUAUACGGACGCACAGAGAGCUCACUGGAGAUUUUGAGAUUAUGUCAGAAUCAACUUCAUGGUUCAUUGCCUGAUAUUGCUAGAUUUUCUUCCUUGAGAGAAUUGGAUAUCUCAUAUAAUCUACUCAAUGGGCGUAUACCUGAAAGUAUUGGAUUCCUUUCCAAGCUUGAGCAUUUUGAUGUUUCUUUUAAUUCUUUUCAAGGUGUGGUGUCUGGAGAACAUUUUUCUAACCUCUCCAAGUUACAGAACUUGGAUUUGUCUUAUAAUUCCUUAGUUUUGAGAUUCAAAUCUGAUUGGGACCCCACUUUUCAAUUGAACACCAUUCGUCUUAGUUCAUGCAACUUGGGGCCUUUUUUCCCACGAUGGCUUCGAACUCAGAGAAAUGCCCAUUUGCUUGAUAUCUCCAGUGCUAAUAUUUCAGAUAAAAUCCCUAAUUGGUUUUGGAACCUGUUGCCUACCUUGGCUUUCUUAAAUCUAUCUCACAACUUGAUGAGGGGAACGCUGCCAGAUUUAUUGUCAGUUGAUGUGGUCGAUGGUACAUUCCCUGGGUUUGAUUUGAGUUUUAAUCUGUUUGAGGGUCUACUGCCAGCUUUUCCUUCUACGACAUCCUCAUUGAUUCUUUCUAACAAUUUAUUUUCAGGGCCAAUUUCUCAUAUAUGCAAUAUUACUGGUGAGAUAUUGAGCUUCCUUGAUCUGUCAAACAAUCUGUUGUCUGGACAACUUCCAAAUUGUUUCACGGAUUGGAAGGGACUGGUUGUUCUGAAUCUGGCUAACAACAACUUGUCAGGCAAAAUUCCAAGCUCUGUCGGAUCAUUGUUUCUCCUUCAAACAUUGAGUUUACACAACAAUAAACUCCACGGAGAAUUGCCGGUGUCUUUAAAAAACUGUAGCAUGUUGAAAUUUUUGGACCUUGGUGAAAAUCGAUUAUCAGGAGAAAUACCAGCUUGGAUAGGAGAAAGCCUCUCAUCCUUGAUGUUCCUUUCCCUUCAAUCUAAUGAAUUCCUUGGAAGCAUCCCGCCACAUAUUUGUCAGCUAAGAAAUAUUAGGAUCUUGGACCUCUCCCUAAACAAUAUCACUGGAGCCAUACCAGAGUGUCUCAACAAUCUAACUGCUAUGGUUCUAAGAGGGGAAGCAGAAACUGUCAUUGACAAUCUUUACUUGACAAAGAGACGUGGAGCAGUUUUUUCUGGAGGCUACUAUAUCAACAAGGCAUGGGUUGGAUGGAAAGGAAGAGAUUAUGAAUUUGAGAGAACUCUUGGACUGUUGCGAGUCAUUGAUUUUUCAGGCAACAAUCUAUCUGGAGAAAUUCCAGAGGAAAUAACUGGCCUGCUUGGGUUGGUUGCACUGAACUUGUCAGGAAAUAAUUUAACUGGAGUAAUCCCUCAAAAGAUUGGUCAGUUGACAUUUUUAGAAUCUCUCGAUUUGUCAAGAAAUCAUUUCUACGGUGCAAUUCCAUUCACAAUGGCUGUUCUAAAUUUUUUAAGUUGCUUGAAUGUCUCCUACAAUAAUUUGUCUGGGAAAAUUCCAUUGAGCACUCAGCUUCAAAGCUUUGAUGCAUCAGCUUUUACAGGCAAUCCUGCACUGUGUGGUCCACCAUUCACCAAGAAAUGCCUUGGAGAUGUUGAUGUGCCUCAAAGGCCAGUGAUGAAUGAUGUAAUCCAAGACAAUAAAAAAACUGUGCAUGAGUUCAGUAUGUGGUUUUAUAUUGGCAUGGAAAAUGGUUUUUUUGUAUUUUUUAUUGGAUUUUCGGGUGCAUUACUGCUCAAGCAUUCUUGGAGACAUGGCUAUUUCCAGUUUUUGGAUGAAUCAUUGGAAUUCCUCUGCUUGAUACUGAGAGCGCAUAAGGCAAAACAAAAAAGGCCGCACCCAAACUCUUGCAGUUAGGUUUGAGAGACAGUCUUUACACAUUAUGCUUGCAAGGAUUCUCUGCUGCCCCAGAAUCAUGGUUCUUUUGCUUGUGGAGAAGUCUUCAUCAUUGUUUGUGUAGCUUGUUGCUGUAUUCAUAUUUUGCUUUCUGCAUUUACAAGGCUGUCUUGCAACAAGUUGUCAAGUGAAAUUUCAAAUUCCAAGGGAUCAUUGUUGCAGCUUGAGCAUUGAAUUUAUGCAACAACAGCCUCCAUGGAGUUUCAUGGAAUCUCAGUAUGUUGAAAUAUUGGAACCAAGUUGAAAUAAAUUAUCUGGGCCCUGGAGAAAUCCCAGCUUGGAUCGAGGAAAGCCCGUCAGUCACGAUAUUUCUUUCCCUACAAUUAAAUUCCUUCUAUGGAAGCAUACCCCACAGCACCCGCAACAUCAAUUCAGGUAUUGGACCUCUCAUUGAAUUCUUCUCAGAAAUCACACCAAACUGCCUCGAGAACUUUAGUUUCAGGCUUCAGAAAGGGUAAUCAAAUGAUCAGAGUUGUAGUACGUACAUCACUUCAAUAAUCUCCGUUGCCAAGCAAUCUAGGAAGCCUUGAUUUGAUGGACAGGAAGAGGGUUCGAGCGUGACCAGAUCCCCAGUCGGCGGCUGAUUGUUGAUCUGGCUGGAAACAAUUAAAUGGGAGAAAUUCCUGAAUGCAUAAUGAGUCAUUGAGACCUGGUUGUGCUGAGCCUAUUGAUGAACAAUUUGACCGGACUAAUCACUCCAGUGAAACAGUUGCGAUCACUUGAUUUCUCAGGAAAUCAAUCAUCCGGCAUAAUUGCAGCCACCAUGCCUGAUCUAACAUUUGUGGGUUACUCGGCCUUCUCCUAAAAUAACUUGUCAGAGAGAAUUCCACUAAGCACCCAGCUUCACAGAUUUGAUGCAUCUGCUCUUGCUGGUAAUUCUGUACUAUGAGAGCUCCUGGUCACGCAGAAAUGUACUGGAGAUAAUACACUUCUGAGUCUACCAACUGAUGCAUGCCCACAAUCCGAAGAAAAUAAAUAUUUGCUUGUUGUCUAACAAUAUAUUACUUGAAUAAAUUUAUUUAUUUUUAACCGA